GAAAAAGUAUCAUCAGGAGAAAAACAUCGAAUAAAGGAGAGAAGAAAAGAAAGUUGGAGUUCUGUUGAAGUCUCCAGUAGCAAUCUUUUGUUUCAUCACUCAAUUUAUUCAUUACAGGUUCUUAUUCAUCUUAUAUUUGUAUUUUUUUUUCACUUUUAGUGAAUCAAAAUAUGUUCAAGUUUAUGUUAAUGAGUUUAUUGGUUAACGUGUGAUGUUGUUUAUUUACUGUACUAAAUAAAAAAACUGUAGCAAUACAGAUUGAUAUAUGCACCAUCACAGUUCCAUGCACUGGCACACACUACACAGACUAAAAAACAUCAAUAAACGCACAUAAUCUUUCGUUUAUUUUAAUUCACUAAAUUCACAUACUCUUAUGUUUCUUGUAUUCACAACAAUUUACACGCACACAUCGGAAUAAUAAAAUCAAUAGAUAAAGGGUGAAACAGAGAAAGACGCGAGGAUAGAAAAUAAAACGAGAAAAAAAGUCAUGGAAAGACAAUGAAAAAAAGGAAAGGUGUGAUCGGAAAAAGAGGGAUGAACGGAAUCAGAGGAAAACAACUUUUUCCAGCAAAAUUUUGGCCAGAAUCACAAUCUUCACCGGGACUAAAUGGUUCCGGUGUCACCCACUCCCCUCUCCCAGACCCCGUCAUCCUAUUCUCCCCUCUCUGGUGUCAAAUCUGUCCAGAAUUAAUGCCACAACGACGACAACAUAUCCACCGGCGAACCAGCCUUGCCGCCGCGCCAUCCCACAUCCCUCUCCCUUUUCUCCAUCCUCAAAUAACUAAAAUCCAACUCUUAUGGUUGGUUCAGGCGAAUCAAAUCGCCGAAAAAACACCAUCAUCUCCGUUGGUUCUCUUCUCCACCAACCAAAUUCAAAACGCCGGCCACCAACUCCCACGCACUACUAUUUCAUUUUUUUGGGGUGGAACCGCUGCCAGUCGCGGUGAAUCGUCCAUCCCCGUCAGAAAAUCUCAAGAUCUAACUCUUUUUAUCAUAACUCUGUGAUAAAUAAAAAUUGGUUUUUGAAACUUUCUCAAUUCUAUUUGAUGUAGUGCUAUGUAUAUAAUUAAAAUAAGAGAUAGCAUUAAUAUUGGCAUCUUUAGCACAUUUUUCCAUCUGUAUUAUACCAAUUUUGUUUUACUGGAUUGUUCUAAGAAAUAUUAUUUAAAUUUAUUUUAAGAGAUUUUAAGUUUGCUCAUUUAUUAAUGAGAUUUUAAAUAUUCCAAAUAUUAUAAAAUUUAUUCUAUUUUCAAUUAGUGUUAAGUCAUCUUAAUUUGAUUUUAUUUAAUCCUUAGGCAUGUAGUAUUAUAAGAUUAAAAUAACUUGUCGUUGAUACAAAAAUGAGAAAAUAACGGAUAAAACAAAGUAAGUGUUUUUAACAAAUUGUUAUUAAUCCGUAAAUGAAUAUGUUAGUUACUUAAAAUAAAUGUCAAGAUAUAGUAUUAUACAUAUUUCACUAUGUCUAGUUUUAUUUUAUUCUAAUUUAUUAUCGAAAUUUGCAUGUAAAAGAAAAAUCUUAAUGUUUAUUACUUAUAUUUUUAUUUCAUAAAAUAUCAUUUACGAACCUUUGUUUUUGUGUUUAACCACAUUUAAAAUUUUCGUCUUAAUUAAGAAUGCAGCUUACGCAUCUUUUUGAGACAUUUUAAAAUUCAAGGAUGCUAUAAUGUACCUUGGCAUAUAUUUUUUAAAAAAUUAAUUUUCACACUAUUUAUUUAAUAUAAGAUAAUACACAAGUUUUUGAUAUAAUAAAAUAAGCGAAUCCAGGCCUAUUAACACAAUUUGUUCAAAUAGUUAAAAUCAAGUAUAAGUUGAUAAAAGCGACCGUGCUAGAACCAUGGGAUUCGAGGGGUGCCUCACACCUUCCCCUCGGUCAAUAGAAUUCCUUACCUAAUCUUCUUUUUUCGCAGACCAGAUAAGAGUCAUUUUCUUUUGAUUAGGGAUUUAAAAAGGUGACUUGGAACAACAUAACUCAAUUCCAAGUGGCGACUCUGAAAAUGAUAAAAAUAAUCCCUAUUCAAUAUUGUCACUUUAAUUGGAAAAACCCUUCUACUCGAAUCCUCCGAGCGAAAAAGGGGUGUGAUACCUUCAAGUUUGUAACCAAGAAAGAUCAUUAAUUUGAAGAGAAGAAUAUGCAAUUGCAAUUAUCUAAGGGAUUUGAGCAUUCUCACAACCCUAUCAACAAUUCACACCAUGACUCCCAUAACCCUAGUUAUGAGAGUUUUAACCACGCAUAAUAUAAGAGAAAUAUUCCAUUGUAAUUAUCAUAAAAAAUUUAGAAAUUACUUACAAAGAUACAAAGGAUUGUUCUUGAUCUUAAAUCAUAUGGUGAAUAAAAUGAAAACCCAAGAUAAAGAUCUUGUUCUCAGAGAAUUUUCAGUUACAAAAUGUUUCAGCAGCCAAAAGAUAUCUAAUCUAACCUUAAACUGAGUAUUUAUAGGUUUUCAGGUAAUGGGGAUUUAAAAUUCGAACUGCAGACUGUCGCGUCAUGGUUAACGGCCAAGGUGACAAUUCAUUACUGGCCUGACAGUCCGUCGCUUAGACCGUCAUUGGAUUCUCAGAUUUUGGUAUUUUGUUUAAGCUCCGAUGUUCAAGGUGACGGUCUGUCAUUGGACUGAUGGUCCGUCAACUUGUCUUUCACUUCAUCCUUGAAUUAGCUCCAUUUUGUUUAAGGCCGACGGAUAGAGUGACGGGUCAUCGCUGGCUUGAUGGCCUGUCACUAGGACCAUCGCAUAGAUCCUGAUUGACUUCUAUUCUACUUAACACUGACGAACACCGUGACAGACCAUCACAAGGUUGACAGUCCACCAGUUAGACCGUCAAACAUAUUUAGUUCACCCUUUUCCAAGUGAUUUAUUCUUUCAAUUCAAUUUCCUAAAAAUCAGUAAAACCCAGCAUCAAAUACCUCAAAAGUUGCUUAAAAACAUACAAUUAUCCCUUGUAAAAGAUGCAAAAUAUUUUAUCAAAUAUCGGAACAUCAAUACCCUCAACUUAAGACAAUUUCUUAUCUUCAAGCAACUCAACACCACAUCACAUGCAAGACUAAGAACAAUGACGGGUAGUAAAGAGUUGAACUAUGCGUUACACACCCACUUAAUUUUCACCUUACUCAUGAAUUCUCAACAUAUAAGGAUCCAUAAUUGGGACUAUUAUACAAUCUAACAUGUGCAUGUUCAUGGACACAACAUCCAAACAAAUUAGUAAUGACAAGUAUAGCCCAGAUUGCCCUCACAAUCAAAGAAGUCUACCACACUUUUUCAUUUAACCAGUGGACUAUCAAAUAAGACUCUCACUCUCACAAAAAAAGUUACAAACAUAGUACAUACACCCAUAAACUUGCUCUUAUCAUGUAAUGCCCCCUAUGGUUGACUUGCAAGGAUCAAACAAGACUUGCUAUGGCUUAUAAUGAUGCUUCAGUGAAAGGUGAGGAAUGAUUUUGAGAAAGUGACUUCAAGUUAAAAUUUCACCCUCUUUGCCCUAAUUUUCUACUCACCAUGACUAUUUAUUUUCUACAACCCUUACAAUCUAUACUACUCAUUCAGCAGCCCCUUUUUUUUAGGAGUUUACCUCAACCACUCUCAACUUUCGCUGAUGCUGUCAGUUGAGGUGCACAUUAUCUAACUAGAUCAGGGUCGGAUCAGACAUUUUAUUAUACUUCAAACCACUUUCAUCAAAUUGUCCACUUCCUAAUAGUAACCACCCUCAACUUAGGUAUUUUGCCUAAGUUAAGGUACACAAUAUCCAAUCUUGGAUCAGUGAUAAAAUCAGGUGCUAAAAUCCUAAAGAGAGAGAAUCCAAAUUAUUGGGGUUGAAUAAACAAUAACAAAAGCUCAAAAAGAGUCCAAAGGGAAAAAUUACAUCUCUUUUGUGUGGUUUUUAUGGCUGAGUAGACUAACUAUUGAAGGAGGCCUGCCGUCUUAUCCUAUUAGAUCAACCACAAAGUAACAAAAAUGAAUCGAGAAAGUUCUAGUUAUACACACUAUGCAAGAAUUAUAUCAAAAUACUUACACAUACUGACAAUUAGCUCAUACUUAUCCUACAGACUCUUGGAGUUACAUCACAUGAAUAUAUUUGCUCUAACUUAACACUCUAAUGCCAAUAACAGAUUCAUCAUGGUUGAUCAACAUAUAUUAAGUGACAAGAAAGAAUUUUCAUACACUACACAUUCACAGUUUUCCACCACAUUCAUCAUUCUUCCAUACACAUGAAAGGUACCAAACAAAAAAACAUAUUUGUAAUCAUGCAACAAGAUUUACAUCACGAUGAACAAUCGAAAAAUAAAUAACAACCUACACAUGAAGGUUCUACUAGAUAGCACAUGAGGGAAAAGAACACAAAUAAUAAAAAACCCCGUGGUGAUCAAAACACAACAAGUACCCACCCCCACUAAACACAUAUGCUUUUUCCUCAAUGCAUAAUCAUUAAAGUACAAGGGAGUAGAAUACUUGCAAAUCCCUUAGGAUUAUGAAUCGAUCAAGUCAGGUGAGGUUUUUCUGGCCUCGGAAGCAACAGCAGUGACCCCUUCAGUGGUCGGGGUACUCAAAAUAGCUUCCUCCUCAACAAAAGCGAUCACUAUCAAAACUGGCAUGGGCUUCCUUAUUGGGGAUGAACUGGUAGAAACUCUUGAUGCCUCGUCAGAAACUUUCUUCUUUCUUUUCUCCUUAUCUCUCUUCGAUCUUUUCACUAUUUUCCUUAAAAAACAAUUUUGGUAGUUUAUCUUUGCGCUUUGUCUUUCUUUUUGAUUUUGGGUCACCACUUUCAUCAAUAUUCUUACCUUUAUCUUUAAGUGGUAUGCCCAUGGGAUUAUGUAAUGACCCGGGACUACCCCCUAGUCAUCACACGGUGUUUAUAGGCCUGAGGGACCAAAAGUUAACCCAUGAGUUUGUACCUGUUGUGCGCAUUGAAUAAUAAUAUCAUAAUUUUAGAAAACAUCUAAUAUUUUCAUAAGGUUUUAUCAUUAAAUCAAUACUAAAAUAUGAAUCUAUAGAAAAACUGACUGAAUCUGAUUAAAUACUAAUAAACUGACAUGUCAACUGAACAUCCAAAUACUGAAUAACUGACUUUAAUGUCUGAAAAGCCUCUAAAACUGACUGACUAAAUAUGAGUUGAUGUGACAGGCCUCAACUAACUCUGUUGACUACUGAAAUAGAGAUAUGAAGUAAAAUAAUUUAUCCUCGAAUGAUGAGGACUCACCACUGCUACUAUACUGCUGAUAUCCUAAGGGAUGACGUCUAAGUGCGGUCUGGGAACUGAGCAUCAACACCUAUGAUAUGAUACAUUAUAGCGCAAAGAAAGGUAUGCGAUCAGUACUUUGAAUGUACUGGUAUGCUAAAUGAGGUACGUUGAUAUACAUGGUUUCAUAAACAGAACUAAUAAUUAAUUGAAUAUGCAUGUAAAACAUGGAGUACUAAGUAGAGAACAUAGAAUCUGUAAAUACUAAAAAUAUAUGGAGAAUUUGUAAAUAUCGAGUAUGCAUGACAGUCUAUAAAUACUGAAUAUACAUGAAAAUCUGUAGAUAUUGGGAAUGCAUGACCAAGCAUAUAACAUGGACUAAGUAAAAUCUAUAAACUAAAAUACUGAAAAAUAUGGAUAUAUGUGUAUGCUUUGGUCAAGCAACUCUAAGACUGCAUAACUAAACUGAGACUGUAACUGAGACUAUAUCUGAGACUGUGGGAGGUAUCAUUUAACCGACAUUCUCCAAUUUGAGCUAAUCAGGGUCCAACCUGUAACCCCAGUUGGAAGGGUGUUAAUAUCGUGACACGGGUACUAACGAUGGCUAUGUGGAUCUACUAAAUUGAUAUAAUAUCCAAAGGACUAAGGGUGUCAAGCCUGAACUGACGAGUGACCUCUAAAAGAUAGUCAAUCCUAAUCUAAUGGGUGACUUCUCAUAUCCUAUGCUGGCUACAUAGUUCUGGAGUAUAAGGACAGCUACUAACAACUCUGCCUAUCUGAUGGGGAAGUCUUCAUCCCUACACUCGCUCGGUGCUAAAUCCUACUCCCAACUGAAAGACACUGAAAUAAUAGAUUGUUCUUAGUUUAACUGACUGAUAUUUGACUAUUCUAAAAAUGCUCACAGCAUAAUCUAAAGUUAUUCUGUAAUAUACUGAGACUAGACUUAAAUAAACAGCUAUGGAUUUCAGGUAUUCAAUACCCCCAGGACUCAAAAUAAUUAUUGUAAAAUGACACUAAAACUUGGAGAUCAAAACAUAAAGGCUCUUAUUAAAUAAAUCACUCUUGUAGGCAUUUUAUCAAACACUUGUAGUUCAUGGUUUAAAACAAUCAUAGGAAUUUCAUGGAUCUUGUAGGAAUAGCAUGAAUUCAUCAUAAUAGAAUUAAUUUAUGGUUUAAUUCAAUAAGUAUUAAUGUUAAAACAUGGAGGACUGAAUAAUAACAUAUUUCAUGGUAACAUGGUAUAAAAUCAAUAGUACAUGGAGAUUCAUGGAUGAAAUCAUAAUUUAAAAUACAAUAACUUGAAAAGAUCAAAACUUGUAAAUUAAAUAGGUUACUUGGACUCCAUGGACUAAAGGAAUCCAUGGAUGAACAUCUAACAUACCUUAAUGGAUGAAUUUCUUGAAGUUCUUGGUGAGUUCUUGAGUAUUGACCUUGAAUUUGAAAGCUAAGGUUCUUGAUUGGGAGAGUAUCUUCUUUGAUUUAGGGGAAAAGUUUUUAAAAUAAUGAAAUAAUAGGUUAAUUAGGGUGGGGGGAAAAGACUGUAAUGCCCUCAGAUUUAAAACUCAAAAUUAUUAAAAAACUCUUAAUUUUGUGAGCUGGUGCGAUGCGGUGCUAUCGCGUCAUGUCACUAGAAUUAGACAACAGGAAACUAAGGACCUGCCGUGAUGCGGAGGAAUAACGGUGCCCUUUUGAUUCUGAAACUCACCCUUGGCGCGAUGCAUCAUUAUCGCAACAGGACACUAGAAAAGUACAAUUAGGAUUUUGGUUGACGGUACGAUGCAGUGGUUUUGCAAAGAUUUACUGGAAAUUGAAAAUUGUCAUUUAUGCUGGCUCUGUGACGCGCUAAGGGUUAAAAUGAUGGUGCUUAAAGACUGAAACUUAAAAUUGCCAUAACUUCUUACUAGAUUAUCGAAUUUAGGCAAAUUUUAUAUCAUUGGAAAGCUAACUGAAUUUCCUACUCAAUGGAAGGCUCUAAACUAAAAAAUAAUGAGUGUUUCAAAAAUUUUAUAUAUGAAUACUCAUGUAUUUAGACUUAGAUUAUGCUAGGAAAAUAUAGGGCAUUACAGAUCAACAAGGCUUUCUUCAUCAUCACUUAUCACCAAUGUAGGAUCAAAUGCCAGUAAUGGUGGUUGUUUUUCAGCUCAGCAAUGUCAACUUAUGCCUGUUUAAAAUCUUCCACAAACUUUCCAAAGUCUAGAAUUGAUAACUCAUUCAAUCGGUUAUUUGCAUAUUCCUCCAUGCCAUCCCUUCUAGUAUAAAUAUUCUCAUAAGGCUUGAGGGCUUCAGCAAUAAUCUAGUCAACAAAAGGUUUGAACUCUUUCGCCCAAGCAUGUAACUAUCUCUCAAACUUUUUCUAAGCUUUCACAAUCUUUGAAAAGUUUUCUUGUGUCAUCCUGUAUUCCGAAUACCUUGGUGGGACAGAUGCAGUGUCAGAAGUCUCUCCCAUCGGAGGCAUCAAUCUAAAACCUAUAAAAGUACCUGGCGGCACAUAAUCUGGUGGUACAUAAGUGGUCAAUGGUAAUGGCAUACCUGGGGGCACCCUUGCUGGUGCAGACUGUGACUCAUAUGCAGACGGCUUAUGGACUCGCAUCUCAUACAUUGAAUUAUCCCUUAUUCGUUCAAUAACCUUUAUCUUUCUUGUUUAAACUUCAUUAUCAACUCCCCUAAGUAAGGGCACAUUAGCCUGUCUGCAUAAUUUUGUAAUCAAGCAUGGGAAUGGAAAUAUGCUCUCCAUCUUGUGAGCGCAAACAAACAACUCAUCAAUAAUGAUAUAGCCAAAGUCAAUCUUCAGCCCCUCAAUCAUACUAGCUACAAGUAUUGCCCGUUGGUGGUCUAGGUUUGUAUCCCCUCCAGUCAAAAUUAGUUUCAAUCUCACAAUAGUCCACCAGAACUUUACUCUAAAGCUUAGGGAUGAUUUAUCAAUUUUGUCCUUGGUAUGCGCCCAUGACAGGUUACCAUCAUCAGUAAGGACCCUAGCCAACCAAGGCCUUUGGUCAGAGGUAGAAAAUAUGCGAUGCUUAAGAUUCGGAGUGAUAGCUAGUGACUCAUAAUUAGGACAGAAUAAUAUUUUGUUCAACAUGAGAUCAGAGAUGUCAAUUAUUACCCCUCUUAGAGGAACUUGAGUCCUAUUUCUCAUGUCUACUAAUCGGCUACCCUUGGGAUAAUCUUUUUCCAGCAAUGCCAAGUAAUUAGCAUAAAAAUCCCAUACAAGAUUAGGGUAGUACGAUCUGGAAAGUUUGCUCAACCAGGCCAGCUUGUACUCAUUAAACCCCCUUUCAAGAUCCAGAUACUCAUCAAGCACAGAAGUGACUAUCUGGUAUUCUUCUGAGAUGGGUCACUUCAUUGGUCCAUUCUAUACUGGCUUAAUCCCAUCAUAGAAGUGUUUCCAUGCACCCUUAAUCUUCCACCACACUUAUGGCUCUUUAUUUUUUAUCACAUUAGCAUCCUCAAGUUCCAAUGCCUCAACUUGGUCGGGGUUUGAUGUGUUAACCCCUUCCUCAUUGGGGUUGGAACUAGUGAUGUUGUUGCUCUCGCUCUUACUCUUUUCCUCAAAAUGGGAGAGUAUUUGAGUCUUUUUAUCAUGUUGACAAGUGUUAAAGACAGGUGCCUCUUCACCUCAUUCCUGUUCUCCUCUGCCUCAUGACUAUUGAGGCCUGCCACCACCUCUACGUGAGGGUAAUUUCUAUGUUAUUAUUCCUGAAUAAAGAAUAAAUAAUCAACUACUAAUUAGGAUCAGGAAUAAAUCAAUUGUUAUUUUGAAUUGACGGAUAGGCUGACGGUCCAUCAGACUGCUGACGGCCCAUCGCACUGUCCAUAAAGGCUUACCCAGAUAAAUAAAAACUCAGUAGUUUAGUGAUGGUUGAUUUGAUGGUCUGUCAGUUGGUUGACGGCCCAUCACUCUAUCUAUUACUUCUUAAAUAGAAAGUAGUUCCUGGUCAUUUGUGGUGACAACCUUUUGGGUGAACCAUCACUGGAUUGAUGGUCCAUCACAUUGGAUGUCAGCUAUACUUUUACAGCUUCACUUCUCUUUUUGGCAUUUUUUUCGAACGCCUCUAUUCAUGCAAAUAACUCUAUAUUCAAGCAGAUUUUAAUUGAUGGCCCAUCACUUUGUCCGUUACUGCUUAAAUAGAAAGUAGUUCCUGUUAUUUGUGGGGAUGGCCUUUUAGGUGGACUGUCACUGGAUUGAUGGUCAGUCACUUUAGCUGUCAGCCAUACUUUAAAAGCUUCACUUCUUUUUGGGUAUUUGGUCGAACACCUGGUGUACAUAAGAGUUGUAAUUGCAAUAUUCAUGCAAAUGACUUUAUAUUCAAGCAGAUUUUGAACAUUUUUGUUGAGUAUGAAUUACUCAGACUUCACCCACAACAACUUACACCAAUGUUUGACUUCAACAAUAUAGACAAUGACUAUUACUACUAAAAGUACUCAAACUCACAUUGCAGCAUGCUUCGACAAUUAAAAUAAGAAAAUAAUAGUUUAGAUCAUAUCUUUUUUGUCGAUGUGUUCUUCACCUAGUUGGAAAUUCGGGACUUAGGAACUGCUAAAACUUAUUGCUGGCUUUCAAAAGUGAGAUUUUAACUUAUGACGUUAAUAAGAAUGACAAUGAUGGGGGUGUUUAAAUAAGUGAUAAAAAGAAGAUGAAGAGUCCUGAUAAGAGAUGAAUGUGAUUUAAGACAAUUAAUGCAGAAGAAUUUAAAUGGUUUCAGGAGUUAAAAAUAUGGGAACGUGCAUGAAACUGCUUCCCCUUAUCCAUUUAAUAAACCUUUGGUUCGGUUCAAAAUAAAAAACAAUCCACAAACUUUAGUUGACCCGACCCAUCACUUUAAAGAAAAACUAGGGUUUAACUAAUGGUGACCCUGACGGUCUGUUAGAUACUACGUCAGACCUUACUAGAACAUCAUUUUAUCAGCCUUAUCUUGAUGGUAAGUGUGAUGGUCCGUCAAGGUGUUAAAGAUCCAUCAUACUUUCUGUCACUUCUUAUCCAGUAACUCAAAUUUAUGUUUCCAUGUUGACAGUAUAGAUGAUGGCCCGUCAAGGAUGUAACGGUACAUCGCUUUUGCCAUCAAGCUUUAUCCAAAUUGGAUAAUUUUUUACCCAUGAUCGCGAUGCCCUCAACGGUGGCUCAUCAAAUGGCUAAUGGUCCAUCAGUCUUUCCAUCGCAAUGCUCCAAUUUGUUCAAUUCUUGUUUCCCUGAACAUUAUUCCUGCACACUUAACAACCCAUCAAUUGUGCAUUGAAAAAUAACUAAUUCUAACCAAAAUUACAAUAGCACAUUGUGGGUUGCCUCCCUCUAGCGCCUGAUUUAGAGUCGCGACAUGACUCAGUUUACUUGAUUACUCAGACUUCAUCAAGAUAAACUAUGCUUAAGCAUUUCACCGAGUCUAGCUCAAAUGAGUGACCCACUAUAGAAAAGUCAUCCACGAAUACUUCUAGAGUGUCCUCCACCAUAUUCGAGAAAAUUGACAUCAUGCACCUUUGGAACGUGGCCAGUACAUUGAACAAUCCGAAUGGCAUUCGCUUGAAUGCAAAUGUUCUAUAUGGGCAUGUAAAUGAUGUUUUCUCUUGAUCUUCCUGGGCAAUCAAGAUCUAAUUAUAUCCUGAGUACCCAUCUAAAAAAUAGUACCAACCCCUUCCUACCAAGAGAUCAAGCAUUUUAUCCAUUAAAGGCAUUGGGAAGUGAUCUUUUAGCAUCCACGAGUUCAGCUUCUGGUAGUCCAUGCAAACUCACCACCCGGUCACUAGCCUAAGAGAAAUUAACUCAUUCUUUUCAUUUGCAACCACAAUUAUGCCUUCUUUCUUAGGCACGCACUGUACUGGACUCACCCACUUAUUGUCGGGGAUUGGAUACACAACCCCUGUGCGGAGCCACUUUAUAAUCUCCUUUUUCACCACUUCUUGCAUUGGUGGGUUUAUCCUGUACUGAUGCUUAAUAGUCGGUAUACAUUCUUCCUCUAGCUGGAUUUUGUAUGUGCAGAUACCCGGUGAAAUACCUAUAAUAUCCACAAUAGUCCAUCUGAUAGCCCUCUUGUAUGUCCUAAGCAUAAAAAUAAGGGCCUCAACCUACUGCUCUACCAAAUCUAUUGCAAUAAUAACUGGUAACAUAUUUCCAAAGCCUAGAAACAUAUACCACAAAUGGCCCGAUAGCUCUUUCAGUUCCAACACUGGGGCAUCCUCAAAAAAUGGUUUGGCCGGUGGUGUGGAUGAUUUUUGAGGUCCAAUUCCAGUUUCUUGGGAGCAUAAGAUUAUGACCCUAUUCCUGUCAGUGCAUACAUAGUUUUAUCAUAUUCUUUGACUCCUUCACUAACAAAGUUCAUCAAUACCGCAACCAAUGUCUCCAUAGCAAAUCUCUCCUCAACCGGUACCUCUUACUCAUCUUUAUAAUAUAUAUCAAGGAUAAAGAACACACUCAUCUCCCUUUGCUACUUCAUCAAUUGGCAAACAUCAAAAUUGAUCACUUCAUUAUAGAGCCUAAAUUUUAGUUCAUUGGUUUGCAAGUCAACCAAUACACUCUUGGUUGCUAAGAAAGGUCUACCCAAGAUUAUGGGUACCUCGAAGUCUACCUCAUAAUCCAGGAUUACAAAGUUUACUAGAAAAAUAAAAUUGUACACUUUCACAAGCACAUCAUAGAGGAUCCCAACUGGCCUUUUAACCGAUCUAUCUGCCGUCAAAAGCCAUAUGUUAGUGGGUGUAGGAUCUCCCAAACCCAUCUUUUUAAAAACCGCCAAUGGUAUCAGAUUUAUACUUACCAGGCCUUCACAAAAUUAGGUAACCUAAUAGUACAUGGGAUAAUGAAUGCUCCUGGGUCUGCUUUCUUUUGCACUAAGGAUUUUGUAGAAAUAUCACUACAAUGGUGGAGAUUCUCUACCGAUUCAUAGCUCACAGUCUGCUUCUUAGUCACCAGAUCCUUCAUAAAUUUAGCAUAGCUUAGCAUUUGUUCUAAUGCCUCACCCCGAGGCACAUUUACCGUCAGCUGCUUCAGCAUGGCCAUGAACUUGCUAAAUUUAGAGCCAUCUACCUUCUUCUGUAAUCUGUGUGGAAACGAAGGAGGUAGUUUUAGCAUCCUAGUAACCGUUGUAUCUCCUUCCUUCCCUUUGACUUUCUCCAACUUAUCAACCUGCUUCUGAUUGGAUAGAACCUCCUGAUUUUCCAGCUUUUUAGACUCUACUAGAUAUUCUUCUUCUAUUUCUACAUUUAACUCCACCCCAUAUCUACAAUAUCUUUGCCCACACAAGGACCGGGUAACACUUUACCACUUGUAGUGGUAAUAGCCAUGCAUGAGUUGUCAUUUCUUAGAUUCUGCACAGAAUCACUUGGCAGUGUUCCACUCUUUCUCUGAUUGAAUGCUACUAAUAGCUGAUUCAUUUGCUGCUCCAUUUGCUCAAUAGAAGUCGAAUGUGAAUCAACUAGUUAACUCAUAGAUGAUAGAUCAUUCUUUAUCUCCCUUACUCCAGCUUGAGUCGACUCUACCCUUUUCAAUAACUUAGCCAUCAUGUCCACCAUAGACAUUUUACCAAAACUAUUAGCAGAAGUGUCACAGUUUCCAAGAGGUACAUACAAUCCACUCCUAUCAUUCUUAUUUUUCCAGCCACCCUAAUCACGUUCUCUAUAACCAUCUUUGUCAUAGUAGUUCCAACCUUGAUUUUCUUUGCUAUUGCCUUGGAAACCCCCAUGGUUAUUUAAGUAGUUCACCUCUUCAUUAGAAUUUGAUUCAGCUCUUCUACUUUAUGAUCCUAUAACUUUCACUUUCUCUAUCUUCCCGAAUAACAAAUGCUUUGUGAGCAAGUCCAUCUGGUUUUUCAUAUGCGUCAUAUCCUGAUCACACUCCUCUUCUCUCCUAAAUUGCUCUACAGAUAUUCUACUAGACACAGUAGUGUUUGCUUCCUCAGAAUCCCUGGUAUGCCAAGCUCUGCUCUAUUUAGUCAUUCUUUCAAGCAUUUUCGCAGCUUUCGAGAAAGUAGGAUCCAUAAAUGCUCCCCUAGAUCCAUAAAUACUCUUAUUGUAGCAUUAUCUAUAGGUUUUUUUGUAAUAAAAUUCAAAGCCCUAUAGAAGGUCUCCAUCAAAUGCUCAUCAAUCAUCUUGUUAUUAGGGCAUUGCAUCAACUUCUUCUUGAAUCUUACCCAAGUCUCAUGAAGUGCUUCAUUCAGAAGCUGUCUGAAAUUACUGAUUUUGUCCCUUAACUGUAACAUCUUGGAGGGCAGAAAAACCUUUCUAGGAAAGAUCUUUUCAAUUGCCUCCAGUUUGUUAUAAAAUUAAGAGCCAACUCAUUCAGCCACAGUGUUUUCUCCCCAGACAAAGACAAUGGGAAUAGCUGCAGAUGGAUUACAUUCUCCCCAACUCCCAGAUUAUCAAAAACUUGCAGAUAGUGAUAAAGUUGACUAGAUGCACACUUGGAUCAUCCCUAGGAAGUCCACCAAAUAGCCCCUUGAGAUGAAGUAAGUGAAUCAUAGUGCGUAAUAUUGAACUUCACUCUCGGUGCCAAUGGUGGUGGAUAAUCUCUCCAGUAGCGCUAACUCUAUCUAAAUUAGGCACAUCACCGUCAUCAAGAUCAAACUGCACAGCUUGGUAGUUUGGUCUCUCUCUAAAUGGCUGGUUUUGAUUUACUGGUGCAGCUUUAUCCUCUGCACGUCUCCUAUUUUUUGGAUUAAUCAAGUCAUCGUCCCCCAGGUCCUCAUCAUCUUCAUUAGCUACCCGACCUAGGUUAUCCAUAUUUUGUUGAUUGAGUUGUGCAUUAGCCAAAGUGGAUAAUCUUUCGACUUUUUGGUGAGCAUCUAUUUUUUUAAUUAAUUGAGGUUCUGGGUGAAGAGGAAAUAGUGGUUCUAUUGUCCUCCUUAUUAGUGGCAUACAAAGUAAAAACCCUGUAAUGAACAAAAACAACAAAAAAAAGUAAAAUUAGGAAACUUGACCAAAGAUCAAUUAUUUUAAAUCCAAAGUUAACAAUUUCAAUUUCAAGGUUAAUUGAACUCUAUAGUCUGUCUAUUUAUUUCUCAGCCUUAAUAGAUAGCUACACUUUAAUUCUUUCAAAUUAAAGAGUGUUAUGAAAUAUUCAAUUGAAUCCUGAAGUGGGUUAAUCCUGCUAAGGUAUCAACCUGUAACCCAAAGGUUAAAGCCUUUGAAUUUUUUGUAAUUCUUCUCUUUUCCCAACACCAACCUUUUUUACUCAAACAAAUGGUGUUCAUGGGCACACCCUUCAAGUUUGCAACCGAGAAGGAUCAUUAAUUUGAAGAGAAGAAUAUGCAAUUGCAAUUAUCUAAGAGAUUUGAGCAUUCACACAACCCUAUCAACAAUUCACACCAUGGCUCCCAUAACCCUAGUUAUGGGAGUUUUAGCCACAUAUAAUAUAAGAGAAAGAUUACAUUGUAAGUAUCAUAAAUAAUUUAGAAAUUACUUACAAAGAUACAAAGGAUUGUUCUUGAUCUUAAAUUAUAUGGUGAAUAAAAUAAAAACCCAAGAUAAAGAUCUUAUUCUUAGAGAAUUUUCAGUUACAAAAUGUUUCAGCAGCCAAAAGAUAUCUAAUAUAACCCUAAACUAAGUAUUUAUAGGUUUUCAAGUAAUAAGGAUUUAAAAUUCGAACUGCAGAUUAUCGCGUCAUGGUUGAUGGCCAAGGUGAUGGUUUGUCGCUGGCAGGAUGGUCCGUUGCUUGGACCGCCACUUAGACUCUCAAACUUUAGUAUUCUAUUUAAGCUUCGAUGAUCAAGGUGACGAUUCAUCACUAGACUGAUGGUCCGUCAACUUGUCCAUCACUUUAUCCUUGAAUCAUCUUUAUUUUGUUUAAGGCCGACGAACAGAGUGAUGGGACGUCACUGGCUUGACGGUCUGUCACUAGGACCGUCAUAUCGAUCCUUAUUGACUUAUGUUCUACUUAACACUAACGGACACCUUGAUGGUCCAUCACAAGGUUGACGGUCCAUUAGUUAGACUGCCAAACAUAUUUAGUUCACGUUUUUCCAAGUGUUUUCUUCUUCCAAGUUAAUUUCCUGAAAACCAAUAAAAUCCAGCAUCAAAUACCUCAAAAGUUGCUUUAAAACAUACAAUUAUUCCUUGUAAAAAAUGCAAAAUAUUUUGUCAAAGGCCGGAACAUCAGAUGGUGAAAGCAAUAAGAAUUGAUCAAUUUCAAUCGUAUUAUAAUAAGAUUUAUAAUACCCCAUAUUAGUCUUAGCUUAGUUCAGCUCUUAGUGUAUGCAUAAGAGGCUUAGAACCUAAAAAUUUAGCUAAGUAUUGGGGACUUAGUUUUAUUUUUGGCCUCUUAACUCCGAUGAUCUUUAAAGUGACAUUUCUGACCGCGUGACGUAAGUUUUUGAGUUAGUUCAUGUUCAGGGGUGUAAGAAGCAUAUCUCUGGUAAGUUUCAUAUAUUUUGGACAAGGAUUGAGGCAUGUUUAGAUUUUGUUUAUAGUAGCUCAUCGUGAUUGCACCGCAUCAUAGUGGGUAUAGCGAUGAAAGGUUCAUCGCAUCGCGGAAAGGCCUCAAUCAGCGUUCCAGUUAUGAAUUUAAAUCUCAGAGGGGUAGUCUUGUCUUUUCCCAUCACCCCAAUCCAUAAAAACACAUAAUUAACCUUCAGUUAAGGCAUUAUAUGCCCAAAUUCCUUAAAUUCUCUCUAAAUUAAAACCAAAUCCUUUCCCCAAGUUCAUGUAUCUUCCCUACAAGAAAAACCAAGAAAUUGUUCUUCCUAAUCCAAGAACGUUCAAGACAAGUUAAUUCUCCUUCAAUUAAAGUUUUAAGGUAUGUUUGAUGUUCAUCUAUGGGCCCUUUUCACCUAUGAAGUCCAAGAAUCUGUUUAAGUUUCAAAUUAUGGUUUUUAUAUGUUAUUAUGAAUUUUAUCCAUGAAGCUCAUAAGAACUUUGAUUUUGAACUAUGUUUACCAUGUGAUUUCGUUGCAAUUGACCCUUGACACGUUUGAAUGUUGAUUAUUUGCAUGUUGAAUCCUUAACCCAUAAUUUUGAUAUUGCAAUUAUGCUAUUAUUGCAUGUUUUUAACUCAUAACCCAUAUAUGUUCAAUGAAAUGCCUAAGAGAUGAAUUUUUAACAAUGAUCACUAUUAUGAUUUGUUAAGCUAUAUAAGUCCUUAUUGAUACUUCUAUUCAGUGUUGGGGGUUAUGAAUACCUGAAAACUCAGUUUUUUACUUAGUCCCAGUAUCUUUCAAAAUAGUUUCAAACAUGUAUGAGCAUUAUUCACUAAGUCAGUUAUCAUAGUCAGUUAAACUUAGAUCAGUUUAGUAAUUCGAGUCAGUUCAGGUUGGAGUAGGAUUUAGCACCGAGCGAACCUAGGGAUGGGGGCUCACCUAUCAGUAGAGGGUGUGACUCUUAGUAGCAAUAUCUGCGUUCCAGAGCUACGUAAUCAGCGUAGGUUUAAGAUAUUAACCUGAUAGUUGAGGGUUGACACAUAUCUCACCAGGGCACCUGCCAGUAAAGUGUGACCCUUUAGCCCUUCGAGACUCACUUUAGUCAAUCCACACAGCCAUUGUUAGUACCUGUAGCACGGUACUGACACCCUUCCAACUGGGGUCAUAGGUUGGACCCCAAUUAGCAUAGAUUGGGGCAUGUCGGUCAGAUGAUAACUCCUACAGUCUCAGUCCAGUAUUCAGUAUAUAAUCCAGUUUUAGGUUUGUUUGACCAUAGCAUAUAGUUAUCAGCUAUUCAGUUAUCAGGAUUUCAAUACUUCAAUUUACAGAUCAUUUCAGAACAUAUUUUAUACUUGGUCAUGCAUUCUCAGAUUUUACGGUCUUCAUGUAUUUAUAUUCAGUUAUUCCAUGUUAUUCAUUCAGUCAGUUAUCACGCAUGCACAUGAAACCAUGCAUAUUAGUCUAUCCUCAUCUCUCAUACCAGUACAUUUAAAGUACUGAUCACAUACUCUUUUCUUGUGCUAUGAUAUUUAAUAUCAGAGGUUCGGACGCUCAGGCUCCAGACCGUGCAUAGAUAGUUCAGUCUAUCAGCAGUAGUAGUCAUGAUGAGUCCUCAUCUGUCGAGGACACGGUGGUUUAUUUCUGCUUAUUUCAGUAUUUUAGUACUUUCUUUUAGUUUGUCAGUUGGAGUUAGUUGGGGCCUGUCCCAUCAACUCUUUUCAGUCAAUUUUAGAGGCUUUCAGACAUUUCAGACAGUCAGUUGAUUUGUUAAUCUUUUUAGUCAGAUUUUCAGUAUGUUCGUUUAUACUUCAGACUUGAGUAUUCAGUUGUAUUAAUUUCAGUACUUAAACCUUAUGGCACCAUCAGUUAUUUAUGUG
RNAcentral lists this long non-coding RNA (17380 nucleotides) under Capsicum annuum. RNAcentral describes it as "long non-coding RNA (CANN_LNC008659)". Lineage: Eukaryota; Viridiplantae; Streptophyta; Magnoliopsida; Solanales; Solanaceae. The record is from RNAcentral.